Molecule: long non-coding RNA, 2578 nt
Organism: Pan troglodytes (chimpanzee)
Lineage: Eukaryota; Metazoa; Chordata; Mammalia; Primates; Hominidae
Exons: 3
Source: RefSeq, a predicted model, not a curated record
AAUGAAGCAUGGAGGUUUUAUUCAAGGGGGUGGGUGGGGAUCCGAGCUAGUCUGGGUUGACAUUGGAAUUUCUGAUGUCAGGUCCCAGUUGAAGCAGUAUUUUACUUGAGCUGUCUCUGAUGUCAGGGGGAUAGAAAAAAUUCCUGGUGAGCAGGAAGAAGAGUGUAUAAAGGGUAACGGGAUUUGUGUGUAUAUAUACCAUGUGCAGGUCAAGAACCUCAAAGAUGGCUUCUUGGAACUCCUUAUGCUGCUGAUGAAAAGAAAACACUGCCAGACAGAAAGGGGAUCCCACUAUGUUGGCCAGACUGGUUCCCAACUCCUGGACUGAAGCAAUCCUCCUGCCUCAGCCUCCCAAAGUGCUGGGAUUACAGAUGUAAGCCACCACACCUGGCCAGGAGGUUUUAUUCGUAAGUAAAUUAACUAUAUGCCCAGAAAUUCUGACAAACAAUUUUGUGAAUAAUCAUGAAAAUAUGCCCAUAAUUGAUACAAAUGAAAAGUGGCUUUACAAUUGCAAGACAAAGCCAUAACUAAGGUAAAGGUUCCUUAUUCUUAUUCCAAGCUGUUGUGUAUGACCAAGGAUACCAAAUAAGGUGUGAUUUCCAAGCUUCUUUGAGUUGUAAGCACUUUACCUUUUUGUUUCCCCCUCCAGAUACUAAUUUAGAGAUCACAGGUUCUCCUCAUCUAUUUUUUUUAAAAAAGGUGUGAGAACUAGUUUUUAGUUUUUCUAUCCUUGAAGUAGGCCGUAAGCAAAGUAGAGUUACAUUUAGUCCACGAGAUUCAAUAACAUGGCUACACAUCCCUUUCCAGGAAAGUAUACCCCUCUUAGAAGCAGACUGGACAUAGAAAUUCCUUGUAUACAUCUGUAAACUUAUCUUUUUCCUCCCUUGUCACCUUUUAAAAAAUCUUGGUGCAUUCUGUUUUUGUAUUACAACUGGACAUAAGAUUUUGGGGGAGAAAAUACUCUCAAAAUGUUAAAACGAAAAAACUGCACAUCUAAAAAAAACUCUUUAAUACUUAAAUCGGCAGGGUAUCAAUUCCCUUUGUUUCCUUAGAAUUCCUUUUUUUUUUUCAGUAGCUGAUGAAAAUGUUGACAUCCACCCAUCCAUUCAAAAUUCAAUAAACCUUUCAGUUUUUUUUUAAUUCUGUUAGGUUUAAGCCAUGGCCAAGAAAUUUAAUAAACUUAUUGUAUUCCUUUGCAGUAUGGUUAGUAAGACAUUGAAUGAAAAAAGGAUCCUUAUGUGAGAGUAAAUUCUGCCUCUGCUAAUCUAGCUAGAAAGACAGAAAAAUUUACAUGAUAACACAUGGUUAUAUAGGGGGUCAGUAGCAAAUGUGUGUUACAGAUAAUGUUUUAUAAAGAGCUAAGGAAGGAGACUAUUGUCAUGAGAAAAUGCUGUGGAAGAUUUAAGAGUGGACCCUGAAGGUUUUGGAUGGAUGGGCAAAGGGCAAGUAGCAAUAGGCAAUGGAGUUAGGUGUGAGCUAAACCGGGAGUCUGUCAUACCAGAUGCUGUGGGUUGGGUAUGGUAGAAAGCCUGUUUGGAGAUGCAGGCUAAAGUUGGGUUGUGUGACGUUCUGAAAACUGCAGCAGAGUUCGGGCUGUAUCUGCACCUCAAGUUUGCAGUAAGUUGUGAGGCAUGUGCCCAGUAAUUUGUUACUACUAAUUAAAGUACAGGACUGAAAUGUAUGGCUUAAUUUUCCUUUCUUCUUUUUCUUCUUAAAUAAACAAUAGACUAAAUCACACAUACCCCAUCAUGUCCCAUGGGUGAGAGAUGGGGAAGUAAUAACUUGUGCCCCCAGAAAAAUGGAUAGAGAACUACUGGAUGAAGUCAUGAAGGGCACUGAAAGUCUUUGAGCUGGGAAGGAAGACAGAAUUUAAAAAGAUGUUCACAGAGAAACUUGGUAUGCAUUAUUUCUAUCCCUGAGGGCAGAUGUGGCAAAAGUUGAAUUCCUGAUCUCUCGAUCAAUGCACUGAAGUGUGUGUGUGAACUGCGGCUCUUCACAGGAAUCAUCAGAUGGGAUCACCUUUAGGAAUGACUAUUCUCCUGUUCAUAGUAAAAGAUAGCAAACUGCUAGGCUAAUCACAGCAUUAUUUCAGUAGAGUUGAUGUUUGCAGCUCAGAGAAUUGUCAGUUUCAAUCCUAAAGCGUUGCAUCUUAGAGAGGUACAAGAAUACUUUUUGUUUCAGUAGAUAUGGCUUAAUAAAACUGAUUAGAAAAAAUCAGUUUUGAAGUUAGAACCAAAGACUGUAGACUGCCCUUGCUGCUCUAGUUAGCAAAAUCAAACAAAGAAUUAAAAUCCAGGCUGAGUGUGGUGGCUCAUGCCUGUAAUCCCAACACUUCGGGAGGCUGAGGGGGGUGGAUCACUUGAGAUCAGGAGUUCAAGACCAGCCUGGACAACAUGGUGAAACCCCCUCUCUACUAAAAAAACAAAAACUUAGCUGGGUGUGGUGGUACACGCUUGUAAUCCCAGCUAUUCAGGAGCCUAAGGCAGGAGAAUCUCUUGAACCUGGGAGGCAGAGGUUGCAGUGAGCCAAGAUCACACCAUUGCAUUCCAGCCUGGGCAACAGAGCAAGACUCCAUCUC